AACGAACGCUGGCGGCAUGCCUAACACAUGCAAGUCGAACGAGAUCUUCGGGUCUAGUGGCGCACGGGUGCGUAACGCGUGGGAAUCUGCCCUUUGGUUCGGAAUAACAGUUGGAAACGACUGCUAAUACCGGAUGAUGACGAAAGUCCAAAGAUUUAUCGCCAGAGGAUGAGCCCGCGUAGGAUUAGCUAGUUGGUGGGGUAAAGGCGCACCAAGGCGACGAUCCUUAGCUGGUCUGAGAGGAUGAUCAGCCACACUGGGACUGAGACACGGCCCAGACUCCUACGGGAGGCAGCAGUGGGGAAUAUUGGACAAUGGGCGAAGGCCUGAUCCAGCAAUGCCGCGUGAGUGAUGAAGUCCUUAGGGUUGUAAAGCUCUUUUACCCGGGAUGAUAAUGACAGUACCGGGAGAAUAAGCUCCGGCUAACUCCGUGCCAGCAGCCGCGGUAA
Molecule: ribosomal RNA, 449 nt
Filed under: uncultured bacterium
Lineage: Bacteria
Description: partial 16S ribosomal RNA
Rfam family: Bacterial small subunit ribosomal RNA
Source: RNAcentral